AGUGUUUUUGAAAGAAAAAUUAGAAAUUGAUGGUCAAAACAUAAUUUAAAAAAAAUAUGCCACGUACAAUCGCCCAGUCAGCAGCCUCGGCGAACUGAAGCGCGCCGCGUGGCAAGGCACACUGACGUGGUGCCACGUGGGAAGCCAUGCUGCCAAUCCGCGUGCCCGCAGUCAGACAGUCCGGAUUUGUUCCUGCGUGUGUGGACGGUUCAGAUCCAUUCCCUCAUCAGACACGAUCGAACGAUUGCGAUUAAGCGCGAUGAAGGGUCUAGAUUCGUUUCUUUUUUCAACGCGAUCGUACGGUUCAUAUCAAAUGUGAUGGAUGGUCCAGAUUAAAAGGAGAUGAAUAUAAAUAUCUCACUUCACACCAAACCCUAACCCUAAUCGGCAGGCCCCCCGCAGGAAAAGAAGAAUCAGUCGCCAGGAAGGGAGCCGAUCACCGCCCGCCACU
Molecule: long non-coding RNA, 451 nt
Filed under: Carica papaya (papaya)
Lineage: Eukaryota; Viridiplantae; Streptophyta; Magnoliopsida; Brassicales; Caricaceae
Description: long non-coding RNA (CPAP_LNC013437)
Source: RNAcentral